RNAcentral lists this transfer RNA (73 nucleotides) under Platycephalus indicus (bartail flathead). RNAcentral's name for it is "tRNA-Asp". It matches the Rfam family "tRNA". Rfam says of the family: Transfer RNA (tRNA) molecules are approximately 80 nucleotides in length. Their secondary structure includes four short double-helical elements and three loops (D, anti-codon, and T loops). The record is from RNAcentral. Lineage: Eukaryota; Metazoa; Chordata; Actinopteri; Perciformes; Platycephalidae. RNAcentral also lists the same sequence under 1 other name.
AAGAUACUAGUAAAACUGUCCAUUACACUUCUUUGUCAAAGCAGCAUUGCGGGUUAAACCCCCGCGUAUCUUA